GGAUCUUUAGCUCAGUUGGUUAGAGCGCUUCCUUGACAUGGAAGAGGUCGUUGGUUCGAAUCCAAUAGGAUCCA
Molecule: transfer RNA, 74 nt
Filed under: Dinghuibacter silviterrae
Lineage: Bacteria; Pseudomonadati; Bacteroidota; Chitinophagia; Chitinophagales; Chitinophagaceae
Also listed under: 2 other names
Rfam family: tRNA
About the family: Transfer RNA (tRNA) molecules are approximately 80 nucleotides in length. Their secondary structure includes four short double-helical elements and three loops (D, anti-codon, and T loops).
Source: Rfam by way of RNAcentral